UGGCAAAUGAGUUCUUCCUACGCUGAGGCA
This 30-nucleotide non-coding RNA is filed under the name Mus musculus (house mouse). Lineage: Eukaryota; Metazoa; Chordata; Mammalia; Rodentia; Muridae. The record is from RNAcentral.